GGACCAACCUCUAUAAGGGUCAUUUUUUCUAGGCCUCCUCGGUCUACUUUAUCGAUUUCAUUGUGAGGAACAGAAAUCUGGUAAUUCCGAAACCAAAUGUGAUCAUCAACUAUGGAAAAGACAAAGACAUGAUCGUGGAAUGGUUUAGCUUUUCUGUGAUCCUUUGGUGUUUCAAAUAUCUGCAGUAUUAUCUCCUUCAAAAGCUUCCAGUACGGUUGGCUGUCAAAGUUCGAUGAAAAUGUUAUAAUAGGCCGCGACCCUUUCAGAUGAUUCCCAGUAAGCUUC
This 285-nucleotide unclassified non-coding RNA is filed under the name Hevea brasiliensis (rubber tree). The record is from RNAcentral. Lineage: Eukaryota; Viridiplantae; Streptophyta; Magnoliopsida; Malpighiales; Euphorbiaceae.